GACGAACGCUGGCGGCGUGCCUAAUACAUGCAAGUAGAACGCUGAAGAGAGGAGCUUGCUCUUCUUGGAUGAGUUGCGAACGGGUGAGUAACGCGUAGGUAACCUGCCUUGUAGCGGGGGAUAACUAUUGGAAACGAUAGCUAAUACCGCAUAACAAUGGAUGACACAUGUCAUUUAUUUGAAAGGGGCAAUUGCUCCACUACAAGAUGGAACUGCGUUGUAUUAGCUAGUAGGCGAGGUAAUGGCUCACCUAGGCGACGAUACAUAGCCGACCUGAGAGGGUGAUCGGCCACACUGGGACUGAGACACGGCCCAGACUCCUACGGGAGGCAGCAGUAGGGAAUCUUCGGCAAUGGGGGCAACCCUGACCGAGCAACGCCGCGUGAGUGAAGAAGGUUUUCGGAUCGUAAAGCUCUGUUGUAAGUCAAGAACGGGUGUGAGAGUGGAAAGUUCACACUGUGACGGUAGCUUACCAGAAAGGGACGGCUAACUACGUG
Molecule: ribosomal RNA, 497 nt
Filed under: uncultured bacterium
Lineage: Bacteria
Description: partial 16S ribosomal RNA
Rfam family: Bacterial small subunit ribosomal RNA
Source: RNAcentral